Molecule: ribosomal RNA, 407 nt
Filed under: uncultured bacterium
Lineage: Bacteria
Description: partial 16S ribosomal RNA
Rfam family: Bacterial small subunit ribosomal RNA
Source: RNAcentral
AUUGAACGCUAGCGGGAUGCCUUACACAUGCAAGUCGAACGGAGUGGCGAACGGGUGAGUAAUGUAUCGGAACGUGCACAGUAGCGGGGGAUAACUACGAGAAAGCGUAGCUAAUACCGCAUACUAUUGGAGCGGCCGAUAUCGGAUGAUCUAGUUGGUGGGGUAAAGGCUCAACAAGGCGUCGAUCCGUAGCUGGUUUGAGAGGACUACCAGCCAAACUGGGACUGAGACACGGCCCAGACUCCUACGGGAGGCAGCAGUGGGGAAUUUUGGACAAUGGGGGAAACCCUGAUGCAGCCAUCCCGCGUUUGCGAUGAAGGCCUUCGGGUUGUAAAGCACUUUUGGCAUGAAAGCGGUACCUGCAGAAUAAGCACCGGCUAACUACGUGCCAGCAGCCGCGGUAAUAC